RNAcentral lists this ribosomal RNA (468 nucleotides) under uncultured bacterium. RNAcentral's name for it is "partial 16S ribosomal RNA". It matches the Rfam family "Bacterial small subunit ribosomal RNA", at positions 28 to 507 of the family's 1533-position model. The record is from RNAcentral.
GACGAACGCUGGCGGCGUGCUUAACACAUGCAAGUCGAACGGAAAGGCCCUUCUUUUGUGGGGUGCUCGAGUGGCGAACGGGUGAGUAACACGUGAGUAACCUGCCCUUGACUUUGGGAUAACUUCAGGAAACUGGGGCUAAUACCUGAUAGGAGCUCCUGCUGCAUGGUUGGGGUUGGAAAGUUUCGGCGGUUGGGGAUGGACUCGCGGCUUAUCAGCUUGUUGGUGGGGUAGUGGCUUACCAAGGCUUUGACGGGUAGCCGGCCUGAGAGGGUGACCGGCCACAGUGGGACUGAGAUACGGCCCAGACUCCUACGGGAGGCAGCAGUGGGGAAUAUUGCACAAUGGGCGGAAGCCUGAUGCAGCAACGCCGCGUGCGGGAUGACGGCCUUCGGGUUGUAAACCGCUUUCGCCUGUGACGAAGCGUGAGUGACGGUAAUGGGUAAAGAAGCACCGGCUAACUACGUG